RNAcentral lists this ribosomal RNA (309 nucleotides) under uncultured eukaryote. RNAcentral's name for it is "partial 18S ribosomal RNA". It matches the Rfam family "Eukaryotic small subunit ribosomal RNA", at positions 1470 to 1796 of the family's 1831-position model. The record is from RNAcentral.
CCCUUAGAUGUUCUGGGCGGCCCGCGCACUACAUUGGCACUCUCAAUAAGUUCCUAGAUCUAAAACUUUGGGGUAUUCUAUUAAGUGGUGUCGUGACUGGGAUUAACCCUUGCAAUUAUUGGUUACGAACGAGGAAUUCCUUGUAAUCGCGGUUUAUCAGCCCGCGUUGAAUGCGUCCCUGCCCUUUGUACACACCGCCCGUCGCUCCUACCGAUGAAUCGUCCGGUGAAGUUCAUGGAGUGGUGGUUGUUCCAGCCGCUGUCGAAGUGAAAUGGACCUCACGAUUUAGAGGAAGGAGAAGUCGUAACA